This is a long non-coding RNA of Saccostrea echinata, 882 nucleotides long. RefSeq lists it as uncharacterized. Lineage: Eukaryota; Metazoa; Mollusca; Bivalvia; Ostreida; Ostreidae. The record is from RefSeq and is a predicted model, not a curated record. The transcript is spliced from 3 exons.
UUGACAUGAAUUGCACUAAAGGACUGCACAAGAACAGAAUCGUACAUACGUGCACGUGUAAACGAAGUGAAUAAUCUGUUAAGAGAGACGGUGACGGUGAGGUUGUAUCAGCAACUUGUGUAUAAAAUGACUAUGGAAUUACUGUCCUCGUGAUGAUCAAGGUGUACUCAAUGUAUAACCAGCUGAUAACCAAGUGACUGAAACAGAAGAGUUUGUAUCUCAUAGUCAUUGCCUCAGUUGACCUGAACUAGAAGAUGUCAAAACAUUUCAGUGAAAUCUCAGGAAAUGAAAUCAUCACAGCUGUCACAAAACAAAGACUGGAGUUCAGAGAAAGAGUUCAACACUUUUGAUAAAAUUAAUGAGGCAGUGACUUUCAUCUUCCAUGAAUCUAUAAACACUUAAGACUACAGUUUUAUCAUGUUUAUGUUUCAGUAUAAGAAACUACUAAACAAAGGGCAGUCGUUGACUACAAAAGAAAACCUGGGUUGACUUGUGAUAUUCUGUGUAACAUGAUUGCCAAAUACCGAGGUUUAAAACUAUUUAAAACAUUUAUUUUUCAUGAAUUCACCUAUGUUUAGAUUUUUUGAAUAUGAAAUCAUUUGGGUAUAAGAUCAAUUUGAAUGGCAAACAAGCAGAUGACUUGGUAAUGAUAGGAUCAUGUAUGAAAAAUAUCACUUAAAUUGUGAAUAUUUACUAGUUAUUGUGUUUUUGGUGUGGAUGGAAAUGUAUAACAAAAAGGAUAACAAAAAAUAAUUAUCUGUGUAUAAAUAAAAAACAAGUUGUAUAUUAUACAAUUAAGUUAGUUCAAUGAUUUAUUUACCUGAAGAGUACAUUAUUCUCUGACCUCAAAAACAGCCUGAGAUAUUUAACAUUUUCAUGUUU